UGUGAUUGGUUGGACAGAGUUGGUGUGUAGCGGAUGGGGCUAGGAUCUGUGUCUGCAUUUGUUCUGGUAUGAUAUAACAUGCUGAUAUGAUAUAUGUGUUUUUGAAAACAUGACAUUCUGGUUUGAUAUGUGUUUAUGAAAAUAUGAUAUUCUGAUCCGAAAUAUGUUCCGGAAACAUGACAUUAUGAUCUGAUAUAUGUUUUUGGUAAUACAAUAUCCUAAUAUGCUAUUUAUUCAUUAAAAGUAAUAUUUUGUUAUGACAUUUACAUAUGUGCUUGUUAAAUCAAAUUAUGUUUGCGGAUUGAGUCACACACUAUGCCAAAGCUCAUUUGAUUGUUAAUACGUUUUAUGUACCAAAUCUCAUUUGAUUGUUAAUAUGUUUUAGGUUAACUUCCGACUUAGAACUGGACGGCGUGCGGGAGCUCGGAUUGGUUACCAUUUAAAAUAUAUGUUGGUUUAAGUUUUAGUUAUUUUUGGGCUGUAAUCUGGUUGUAGGUCUGGUUUUGGUUUUUGUGUUAUUCGUCGGCAUUUAAUGUUUUCGAGCAUAAAACUGCAAACCACAUGAGCUAACAAAUUAGAUUCCGAUUUUUAAAUAACUAAAACUCUAAUAAAUUUCCGCUG
Molecule: long non-coding RNA, 621 nt
Filed under: Gossypium barbadense (sea-island cotton)
Lineage: Eukaryota; Viridiplantae; Streptophyta; Magnoliopsida; Malvales; Malvaceae
Description: long non-coding RNA (GBAR_LNC008853)
Source: RNAcentral